GCGGAGGAAAAGAAACCAACAGGGAUUGCCUCAGUAACGGCGAGUGAAGCGGCAACAGCUCAAAUUUAAAAUCUGGCCCCCUCGGGGCCCGAGUUGUAAUUUGGAGAGGAUGCUUCGGCUGCGACCCCGGUCUAAGUUCCUUGGAACAGGACGUCACAGAGGGUGAGAACCCCGUAUGUGGCCAGGUGUCAACGCCAUGUGAAGCUCCUUCGACGAGUCGAGUUGUUUGGGAAUGCAGCUCUAAAUGGGAGGUAUAUUUCUUCUAAGGCUAAAUACCGGCGAGAGACCGAUAGCGCACAAGUAGAGUGAUCGAAAGAUGAAAAGCACUUUGGAAAGAGAGUUAAAAAGUACGUGAAAUUGUUGAAAGGGAAGCGCUUGCAACCAGAUUUGGACGCAGUGUUUAGCCUGGCUUCCUGCCCGGUGCACUCUUCUGCGUCCAGGCCAGCAUCGGUUUGGGCGGCCAGAUAAAGACCGCAGGAAUGUAGCUCCUUCCGGGGAGUGUUAUAGCCUGCGGUGGAAUGUGGCCAGCCUAGACCGAGGUCCGCGCUUCGGCCCC
Molecule: ribosomal RNA, 556 nt
Filed under: Acrogenospora carmichaeliana
Lineage: Eukaryota; Fungi; Ascomycota; Dothideomycetes; Minutisphaerales; Acrogenosporaceae
Description: eukaryotic LSU rRNA
Rfam family: Eukaryotic large subunit ribosomal RNA
Source: RNAcentral